Molecule: ribosomal RNA, 690 nt
Filed under: Arthrobacter sp. M134_1
Lineage: Bacteria; Bacillati; Actinomycetota; Actinomycetes; Micrococcales; Micrococcaceae
Description: bacterial SSU rRNA
Rfam family: Bacterial small subunit ribosomal RNA
Source: RNAcentral
CUUGCGGGGGAUUAGUGGCGAACGGGUGAGUAACACGUGAGUAACCUGCCCUUAACUCUGGGAUAAGCCUUGGAAACGGGGUCUAAUACUGGAUAUUGACUUUACCUCGCAUGGGGUUUUGUUGAAAGAUUUAUUGGUUUUGGAUGGACUCGCGGCCUAUCAGCUUGUUGGUGAGGUAAUGGCUCACCAAGGCGACGACGGGUAGCCGGCCUGAGAGGGUGACCGGCCACACUGGGACUGAGACACGGCCCAGACUCCUACGGGAGGCAGCAGUGGGGAAUAUUGCACAAUGGGCGAAAGCCUGAUGCAGCGACGCCGCGUGAGGGAUGACGGCCUUCGGGUUGUAAACCUCUUUCAGUAGGGAACAAGGCCAGCAUUUUUGUUGGUUGAGGGUACUUGCAGAAGAAGCGCCGGCUAACUACGUGCCAGCAGCCGCGGUAAUACGUAGGGCGCAAGCGUUAUCCGGAAUUAUUGGGCGUAAAGAGCUCGUAGGCGGUUUGUCGCGUCUGCCGUGAAAGUCCGGGGCUCAACUCCGGAUCUGCGGUGGGUACGGGCAGACUAGAGUGAUGUAGGGGAGACUGGAAUUCCUGGUGUAGCGGUGAAAUGCGCAGAUAUCAGGAGGAACACCGAUGGCGAAGGCAGGUCUCUGGGCAUUAACUGACGCUGAGGAGCGAAAGCAUGGGGAGCGAA